Molecule: ribosomal RNA, 226 nt
Filed under: uncultured bacterium
Lineage: Bacteria
Description: partial 16S ribosomal RNA
Rfam family: Bacterial small subunit ribosomal RNA
Source: RNAcentral
CGGAACACGUACAGAACCUUCCUUUAAGCGGGGGAUAGCCCAUAGAAAUGUGGAUUAAUACCCCAUAGUAAUGUUUAAUGGCAUCAUUAGAUAUUUAAAGAUUUAUCACUUAAAGAUGGCUGUGCGGCUGAUUAGGUAGUUGGUGUGGGUAACGGCCCACCAAGCCAGCGAUCAGUAACUGGUGUGAGAGCACGACCAGUCACACGGGCACUGAGACACGGGCCCG